This 401-nucleotide ribosomal RNA is filed under the name uncultured bacterium. RNAcentral describes it as "bacterial SSU rRNA". It matches the Rfam family "Bacterial small subunit ribosomal RNA", at positions 361 to 776 of the family's 1533-position model. The record is from RNAcentral.
AUAUUGCGCAAUGGGGGGAACCCUGACGCAGCAACGCCGCGUGAGUGAAGAAGGCCUUCGGGUCGUAAAACUCUGUCAUAGGGGAAGAAAAAGAUGACGGUACCCUAUGAGGAAGCCCCGGCUAACUACGUGCCAGCAGCCGCGGUAAUACGUAGGGGGCGAGCGUUGUCCGGAAUUACUGGGCGUAAAGGGUGCGUAGGCGGCCUGAUAAGUCAGAUGUGAAAUACCAGGGCUCAACCUUGGGGGUGCAUUUGAAACUGUCGGGCUUGAGUGCAGGAGAGGAAAGUGGAAUUCCUAGUGUAGCGGUGAAAUGCGUAGAGAUUAGGAGGAACACCAGUGGCGAAGGCGACUUUCUGGACUGUAACUGACGCUGAGGCACGAAAGCGUGGGGAGCAAACAGG